GAGGCUGACUUGGGAGGAUUGCUUGAGCCCAGGAGUUCCAAACUGAAGUGAGCCAUGAUUGUGUCACUGCACUCCAGCUUGGGAAACAGAGGGAGACCAAGACUCAAAAAAAAAAACUGGCCUCAGAAGGAAUUUUAUGGAACCUUGUAUUCUGUUGAAUACCAGAAUUAUAUCAGCAAUCCCAAAGUCACCAAAUGGGCAUCAUCAUGACAGCAGACUUCAUCAUGAAUUCAUGGCAUCACACAGUCCCCUGAUGCUAUAACAUCAUGGAUUUCUUUUGUCCAGUGAGAGGCCCAAAAGCUGCAGCAUAGACAAUAUCAUAGUGUAGAAGGUUCACUAGACCGUGAUCAUGGGCUACAUUCUCCGUACCAGCUUCAUAGCUCCAGUGAGAAAAUAAAUUCCUGCAUCCAGGAGAUGUGGAGUAAGAGAUACAGCUGCCCUUGACCAUAUUUCUUACUUCCGAGA
Molecule: long non-coding RNA, 465 nt
Filed under: Homo sapiens (human)
Lineage: Eukaryota; Metazoa; Chordata; Mammalia; Primates; Hominidae
Description: non-protein coding PWRN1:16
Source: RNAcentral